GCUGAACCUGGAGCAUGUGACACCUUUGAUCCAGGUUCAUCAGACUGGAUCUGCACCUCCUCCCUGAUCUUCCCCUCCGCCUCCUGUUGCUCCAUUCAUUCCAUCAUUCCAUUCUCCUGUUCCUCCUUCUGCAUCGGCGUCGUAACAUUCCACCUCCUGCUUGUUGAGCCCAACCAGCUAUGACUCAGUCAACCACCAGCCUCCGUCUGUCGGCCCGGCCUGUGUCACUACCUGCCUUCACAGGCUCACGUAGAGUUUCAGGUGAAUGCCCAGAUCAACCAUGUUGCAGGAAUACGAGUCUGAAGGUGAUUUUGGUGCGACCCACACCUGCCCAGUAUGCUGGAGGUUCCCAUGAGGUGUUAACCUGCCCUUCCUUGCACUGACCACAAACCAGAUGACGAAGAACCAGUAGCUGCCCUGAAUCAGGAUCUGAAAUGUUCUCCAAACUUAUCACCUGCUAAAGAGAAGCAGACCUCAUCUCUAUUUUUAGACAAAGGCUUAAAGCUUUUCCUUCUUUUAGACUUAGCUACUGUAGAGAUGGCUCUAGUCACUGCUUUGGAGUUCUAUUUCCCUCACCUUCUUCCUCUCUAUCCACUAACAUGCCUCCGUUGUACUACACGUCAUUAUCUAUGCGUUUCUCCAUCUCUGUACCUUUCUAUGGACAUCUUCAGACUUGGAGCUGUGUGCCUCCAGUGUCAGGGUCUGAUUCCUAUCAGCUCCUUCUUUUGUCCCUGUUCACCUCCUACAAUCAGCUAUAAUAAUAAUAAUAAUAAAAUAUUACUGCCCAUCUCCCCACGGACAGUUUGUAUUUUGUCCUUGAUCACUUUCCAAGCAGCUUUUUGUUUCAGCCAUUUCUCCUGCCAGCUCCUGUUUGUGACCUGCAUUGGUUCUGACUCUGGCCUUGGCCUGUUCCCUGCCCGUCAUGGUUGGUGAAUCCUUCAACCUUGGUCUGAUCGCUGCUUCUACCUGAGCAGCUUAUGGUCUCAGAGCUACAGUAGUAGUGGAAUUUUGGUGAGUGUGUGAGCUCAGUGGGAUAAAGCCCUGCUUCAGUCCCAGUCUGUGAUUUACCUUCUUGCUAUAAAACAAACAUCAGCUUCUAUUCCUUCUGCAGCUACUCGAUCCCAAAGACCUGGUUCCUCCUCUGGUCCAGUGUUUUAUACAAUAACUGCUUGAAAAUAAAUUAAAUAACUUGUUUAAGUGGGAUUAGUUGGGUUUUCUAUCUACUGUGGGUUGUGUUUUUGAAUUCUGUAAGGUCGAAAAUCUCUCUUUAAAAAGUGCCUUGAGAUAUUUUUGUUGAGUUGGUGCUGAAUGAAUAUAAAUGAAGUGAACAGAAGUGUGUUGCUGUGAACCUGCUUCUUGGGUAAACAGUGAUCAUAUAUCACAGCGAUGUCUCAUAUCAACCAUUUGGAACUCGGGGAAUGACUGCCUUCCUGCUCAAGUAGCAUCUGGAGGCUCUUGUCCUCUGGGGCUCUGCACUAUAGAAAACCCUUUCUCUAAUGGCUUCUUCACAACCACUGCUGGUCUGUCUCUGUUAUUACUGUACCAAGAAGAACCUGAGCUUGGUCUACGUAGACCUCAGCCUUCAGUGAAGCUCUUGGGAAAGGCUGCUUUCCAUGUUAACACCUGAACAACGAACCACAGAAAAGUAGUAUAUCCUUCUUAGCCAAUGGGAUGAUGGU
Betta splendens (Siamese fighting fish) is the source of this 1679-nucleotide long non-coding RNA. RefSeq lists it as uncharacterized. The record is from RefSeq and is a predicted model, not a curated record. Lineage: Eukaryota; Metazoa; Chordata; Actinopteri; Anabantiformes; Osphronemidae. The transcript has 3 exons.